RNAcentral lists this ribosomal RNA (406 nucleotides) under Escherichia albertii. Its description in RNAcentral is "bacterial SSU rRNA". It matches the Rfam family "Bacterial small subunit ribosomal RNA", at positions 989 to 1395 of the family's 1533-position model. Lineage: Bacteria; Pseudomonadati; Pseudomonadota; Gammaproteobacteria; Enterobacterales; Enterobacteriaceae. The record is from RNAcentral.
UCGGGACGGGUACAGAGAUGACAAGGUGCCUUCGGGACCUUUGAGACAGGUGCGUGCAUGGCUGUCGUCAGCUCGUGUUGUGAAAUGUUGGGUUAAGUCCCGCAACGAGCGCAACCCUUAUCCUUUGUUGCCAGCGGUCCGGCCGGGAACUCAAAGGAAACUGCCAGUGAUAAACUGGAGGAAGGGGGGGAUGACGUCCAGUCAUCAUGGCCCUUACGACCAGGGCUACCCACGUGCUACAAUGGCGCAUACAAAGAGAAGCGACCUCGCGAGAGCAAGCGGACCUCAUAAAGUGCGUCCUAAUCCGGAUUGGAGUCUGCAACUCCACUCCAUGAAAUCGGAAUCGCUAGUAAUCGUGGAUCAAAAUGCCACGGUGAAUACGUUCCCGGGUCUGUACACACCCGAA